RNAcentral lists this ribosomal RNA (119 nucleotides) under Sphenodon punctatus (tuatara). Lineage: Eukaryota; Metazoa; Chordata; Lepidosauria; Sphenodontia; Sphenodontidae. The record is from RNAcentral.
GCUAGCAGCCAUACCAGCCUCAGGCUGUGAUCUGGUCUGCUCUCAUAAACUAAACAGGGCUGGGUCUGGUUAAUACUCGGACAGGAGACUUCCAAGGAAAUCCCAGGGUGCUACAGGAA